Bos taurus (domestic cattle) is the source of this 73-nucleotide non-coding RNA. The record is from Rfam. Lineage: Eukaryota; Metazoa; Chordata; Mammalia; Artiodactyla; Bovidae.
UCCUUGUUGGUCCAGUGGUUAGGACUCUGCACUUUCACUGCUGAGGAUGUGGGUUCAAUCCUUGGUCAAGGAA